Molecule: long non-coding RNA, 338 nt
Organism: Dreissena polymorpha
Lineage: Eukaryota; Metazoa; Mollusca; Bivalvia; Myida; Dreissenidae
Exons: 5
Source: RefSeq, a predicted model, not a curated record
GCAAUUCAUAAUAGAUACAAUAGAUAAGUUGUUUAUGAAAACAUGCAGGACAAAACUUAGUACCCGAUGUCCGUAUGGAGAAAGAGUUUAUACUCCAACUGAAGGCAAAUAGGUAUUGAAGGAUCAUGCUUAAUAUGAUAUGGCAAUCAAUCAGUGUGUUAUUCGUCAUCAGCUCUACAGUGUGGAUCUGUCUGUGUUGUAAGAGGAAGAAGAAAAUAAAAUUGGGCGGUAAUCCAGAGUGCCAAGAGGGACCCUCAACUGGACGAUAUUACAAACAACCAAACACACCUCAAGUGCGGAUCUGUCUGUGUUGUAAGAGGAAGAAGAAAACAAAAUUG